Molecule: ribosomal RNA, 1467 nt
Filed under: Triticum aestivum (bread wheat)
Lineage: Eukaryota; Viridiplantae; Streptophyta; Magnoliopsida; Poales; Poaceae
Description: partial small subunit ribosomal RNA
Source: RNAcentral
AUGGAUCGUCGCGCUAGCUUCGCCACCCCGAGCUUCGCCGACCCGAGCAUCCGCGUCAAGAUCCCCGACCAGCUGCCCACGCUGUUCGAGCCUCAGAAUGCCAAUGCCACGCCGAACCCGCGCGCCACCCGCUCCCGCAGCCCCGCCGAUGGCGACGCGCCACCGUCGCCGGAGCACCGCCUCACCGUGCUGGCCCUGCAGCUGGCCGUGCUUGAGAAGGCGGCGAGCCGGCUGGGCACGCUGGCCUUCGUCUGGGCCACGGUCGUGCUGCUGGGCGGCUUCGCCAUCACCCUGAGCCCAACCGACUUCUGGUGCAUCACGGGCCUGCUCCUCAUCGAGGGCACCCGCAUCCUGGGCCGCAGCCACGAGCUGGAGUGGCAGCACCACCAGGCCAGCCGGGCCCGCGCCGCCGUCCGCGCCUUCUUCUGGAUGCAGCUGCUCUCGGCGUCGGCGUGCGUCUCCCUCUCCCUCGUCCGCCUCAUCCACCAGCACUACGGCGGCACCGAGGACGCUCGCUCCAACCGUGCCGCAGCGCUCAACAUCUUCUACGGCCUCGCGCUCGCCGAGGCGCUGCUGUUCCUUGUCGAGAGGGCGCUAUGGGAGUGGAAGGUGGGCCACCGCCGCCUCCUCGAGUGCGUCGCCGACGACUGCAACCUCGCCGGCGCCUACGGCCAGGUCGUCGUACGCCGCUUCUUCUACGACUCCUACUCGCGCUGCCUCAACGGCAGCAUCUUGGACGGCCUCCACAUGGGCCUCGUCUCCUACGCCCAAGACCUCAUCACCGCGGGCUCGCACGACGAGCAGAGCCUAGGCGCCGGCAUCCUCGUCGCGCUCGCCGAGUCCGACCGCUUCGCCGAAGCCACGCUCCGCAGGAUCGGCGUCUCCGCGCCCACCAUCGAGCGCCUCAUCGAGAUGCUCAGCUGGAAGGACUCCUCGGAGCGCGAUGUCCGGCGCUCGGCGGCCGUCCUCGUGUCCAUGCUCACCGGGAGGAAGCUCGUCGCGCUCCGCGUCACCGGCAUUCCAGGCGUCAUCGAGUCCGUCGCGUCGCUGCUUUAUGCCGACCUCGACGAGCUCAACAUCCUCGGCCUCUCCAUCCUCAAUAAGCUGGCGCAAGACCACGACAACUGCGACAAGAUUGGCAAGACCAGGGACCUCCUCGAAACGAUCAUCUCCUACUCCAGCAUCGACCAUGCGCUGGCGUCGCCCUCGCCGAGGGACAUGAGGCUCAAGGCGGUCAAGAAGUCGCUCCGCGUUGUCAAGAGGCUGGCCGAUACGACGGGGGACACCGGGAAGCUGCUCCGACGGGAGCUCACCGACAUCGUCUUCACCGUGAGCAACGUCAGGGAGAUCCUGCAGCGGCACGACAAUAAGGUCCAGUCGGAGCUGCACCAGUUGGCCAUCGAGAUACUCACGAGCCUCGCGACGAGGAGGCCAGGGAGAUCAUCGGCGGGACGGGGGACGUGGUGA